Long non-coding RNA from Sinocyclocheilus rhinocerous, 432 nucleotides. RefSeq lists it as uncharacterized. NCBI's taxonomy places the organism in Eukaryota, Metazoa, Chordata, Actinopteri, Cypriniformes, Cyprinidae. The transcript is spliced from 3 exons. The record is from RefSeq and is a predicted model, not a curated record.
AUUGGUCCAUUUGAGGAGGAAAAUGCUUUAAUAGAGCACCCAGCUGUAGCAGAAUCUGCUGUGGUCAGCAGCCCUGAUCCGGUUCGAGGAGAUGUAGCGCAGUGCUUUCUGGAAUUGCCUUCUGCAUGAAGGAUACAUGCAGUGUGAUCUUAGAAUUAGGCAAAAAUUACAACUUAUAAGGUAGUACCAUAAUUAGCAGCAGAGCGCAUAUGAUGCAUUAAAAUGGUGUGUGGUGAAGGCUUUUGUAGUGCUGACAGUCAAGAGACCAUAAGGAACUGAUCCAGGAACUGCAAACACAUGUGAAGACUAUCACGGCUCCUUAUAAAUAUCCACGCAAGAUUGAGUUUGUUGAUCACCUGCCCAAGACGGUUAGCGGGAAAAUCAGGCGAGUUGAGUUAAGAAAGAAGGAAUGGGGACCGCAAUCAAAAAUGG